GACGAACGCUGGCGGCGUGCCUAAUACAUGCAAGUAGGACGCAGUUGCGAACGGGUGAGUAACGCGUAGGUAACUACCUAUUAGAGGGGGAUAACUACUGGAAACGAUAGCUAAUACCGCAUACUAGUAGAUGGACCUGCGUUGGAUUUGCUAGUAGGUAGGGUAAUGGGCUACCUAGGCAACGAUACAUAGCCGACCUGGGAAGGUGAUCGGCCAAACUGGGACUUGGGAAAGGCCCAGAAUCCUUCGGGAGGCAGCAGUAGGGAAUCUUCGGCAAUGGGGGGAACCCUGAACGAGGAAAGCCGCGUGAGUGGAGAAAGUUUUCGGAUCGUAAAGCUCUGUUGUGAAGGAAGCGGUACUUAACCAGAAAGGGACGGCUAACUACGUGCCAGCAGCCGCGGUAAUAC
Molecule: ribosomal RNA, 407 nt
Filed under: uncultured bacterium
Lineage: Bacteria
Description: partial 16S ribosomal RNA
Rfam family: Bacterial small subunit ribosomal RNA
Source: RNAcentral